RNAcentral lists this ribosomal RNA (498 nucleotides) under uncultured bacterium. Its description in RNAcentral is "partial 16S ribosomal RNA". It matches the Rfam family "Bacterial small subunit ribosomal RNA", at positions 28 to 507 of the family's 1533-position model. The record is from RNAcentral.
GACGAACGCUGGCGGCGUGCCUAAUACAUGCAAGUCGAGCGGACGAAUCGAAAGCUUGCUUUUGAUUCGUUAGCGGCGGACGGGUGAGUAACACGUGGGCAACCUGCCCUGUAGACGGGGAUAACACCGAGAAAUCGGUGCUAAUACCGGAUAACACGAAAUGUCGCAUGACGUUUCGUUGAAAGACGGCGCAAGCUGCCGCUACAGGAUGGGCCCGCGGCGCAUUAGCUAGUUGGUGAGGUAACGGCUCACCAAGGCGACGAUACGUAGCCGACCUGAGAGGGUGAUCGGCCACACUGGGACUGAGACACGGCCCAGACUCCUACGGGAGGCAGCAGUAGGGAAUCUUCCGCAAUGGACGAAAGUCUGACGGAGCAACGCCGCGUGAGCGAAGAAGGCCUUCGGGUCGUAAAGCUCUGUUGUUAGGGAAGAACAAGUAACGCAGUAACUGGCGUUACCGUGACGGUACCUAACGAGAAAGCCACGGCUAGCUACGUG